RNAcentral lists this ribosomal RNA (265 nucleotides) under uncultured bacterium. Its description in RNAcentral is "partial 16S ribosomal RNA". It matches the Rfam family "Bacterial small subunit ribosomal RNA", at positions 96 to 354 of the family's 1533-position model. The record is from RNAcentral.
UGGCGAACGGGGUGAGUAACACGUGGGCAACCUGCCCAAAAGAGGGGGAUAACACUUGGAAACAGGUGCUAAUACCGCAUAACCAUAGUUACCGCAUGGUAACUAUGUAAAAGGUGGCUAUGCUACCGCUUUUGGAUGGGCCCGCGGCGCAUUAGCUAGUUGGUGGGGUAAAGGCUUACCAAGGCAAUGAUGCGUAGCCGAACUGAGAGGUUGAUCGGCCACAUUGGGACUGAGACACGGCCCAAACUCCUACGGGAGGCAGCAG